This 964-nucleotide ribosomal RNA is filed under the name uncultured Acidobacteriaceae bacterium. RNAcentral describes it as "bacterial SSU rRNA". It matches the Rfam family "Bacterial small subunit ribosomal RNA", at positions 56 to 1051 of the family's 1533-position model. The record is from RNAcentral. Lineage: Bacteria; Pseudomonadati; Acidobacteriota; Terriglobia; Terriglobales; Acidobacteriaceae.
UGCAAGUCGCACGAGAAAGGGACUUCGGUACUGAGUACAGUGGCGCACGGGUGAGUAACACGUGACUCAUCUACCUUCGAGUGGGGAAUAACUGAGAGAAAUCUUAGCUAAUACCGCAUAAUACCUACGGGUCAAAGCAGCAAUGCGCUUGAAGAGGAGUUCGCGGCAGAUUAGUUAGUUGGCAGGGUAAUGGCCUACCAAGACGAUGAUCUGUAUCCGGCCUGAGAGGGCGCACGGACACACUGGAACUGAAACACGGUCCAGACUCCUACGGGAGGCAGCAGUGGGGAAUUUUGCGCAAUGGGGGAAACCCUGACGCAGCAACGCCGCGUGGAGGAUGAAAUCCCUUGGGAUGUAAACUCCUUUCGAUAGGGAAGAUAAUGACGGUACCUAUAGAAGAAGCCCCGGCUAACUUCGUGCCAGCAGCCGCGGUAAUACGAGGGGUGCAAGCGUUGUUCGGAAUUAUUGGGCGUAAAGGGUGCGUAGGCGGUUUGACAAGUCUUAUGUGAAAUCUUCGGGCUCAACCCGAAGUCUGCAUGGGAAACUGUCGGGCUUGAGUAUGGGAGAGGUGAGUGGAAUUUCCGGUGUAGCGGUGAAAUGCGUAGAUAUCGGAAGGAACACCUGUGGCGAAAGCGGCUCACUGGACCAUAACUGACGCUGAUGCACGAAAGCUAGGGGAGCAAACAGGAUUAGAUACCCUGGUAGUCCUAGCCCUAAACGAUGAUUGUUUGAUGUGGGGGAGUACCCACCUCCUCGGUGACGAAGCUAACGCGUAAACUAAUCCGCCUGGGGAGUACGGUCGCAAGGUUGAAACUCAAGGAAUUGACGGGGGCCCGCCCAAGCGGUGGAUCAUGUGGUUUAAUUCGACGCAACGCGAAAAACCUUACCUGGGCUUGAAAUGUGCAGGAAUCCGGUAGAAUUGUUUGGCCUCGCAAGAGAUCUGUAUAUAGGUGCUGCAUGGCUG